This is a long non-coding RNA of Loxodonta africana (African savanna elephant), 766 nucleotides long. RefSeq lists it as uncharacterized. The record is from RefSeq and is a predicted model, not a curated record. The transcript is spliced from 2 exons. Lineage: Eukaryota; Metazoa; Chordata; Mammalia; Proboscidea; Elephantidae.
CCCGCAAACCUCGGCUAGCCCGGCCCCGGCGGGGAGUCCUCCCGGCGCUCAGAAGAACAGCACAGGACACGUCAGUCUUACCACUUCCGCCCUCAUCGGCGGGGCCUCAGCCGGGCGGAAAGCUCCUUUCCCGGAGCCUAACUCGGCCGUUGGAACCUUACGCGGCCGGUGUCCGGGGGCGGGGUCCGAGUCGGGAGCGCCCGCCUUCUGGCCUAAAAGCGGUGCCAGUCGCGCACGCCCAGCGACGGCUUGGGAGACGGAGGACGGGCGGGUGGCUGGUCCCGCACCUAGUGCGUGCCCGGUGCGUCUGCCGGCAGAACCUGUGGGACUCGCCGCAGGUCGCGGAGGCCGAACCCUGAGAGGCGGUCCAUGGCCCCCAACCCGGGCCGGGGUGAGCUUGGGGCGUCGCUCUGCAAGGAUCCUGGAGUCUGAGCCUCGCCUCACACCACUCCCACCCGUCAUGGGUGUCCCCAGCCGAAAAUAAAUAAAAGUGUUUUCCCGGAGCUGUACUGGAGGCCUCCCAUUCCCUACCGUGACCAUUCCGUGCCCGACGAUAAGCGAGCCUGGGCCUGAUCUGGUGCUGAGGCACGCAGAGAGACAGGGUUUCUGCCCCGUAAUCCCGUGAGUUGGGCAGCCUGACAGAGUAAUUGCAAAUUGGAGCUAAUUUAAGGAGGAUCUGCCAUCAGGGACGGAGUUCCUCUGGAGAUCAGACCCAGAGGCAGUGACUUGCCUGUGGCCACCUGGGAGCAAAGUGUAAAGAAGCCGA